Molecule: transfer RNA, 71 nt
Filed under: Spea bombifrons (plains spadefoot toad)
Lineage: Eukaryota; Metazoa; Chordata; Amphibia; Anura; Pelobatidae
Description: tRNA-Gln
Rfam family: tRNA
About the family: Transfer RNA (tRNA) molecules are approximately 80 nucleotides in length.
Source: RNAcentral
UAGGAAGUAGUAUAGUGGAAGUACAGAGGGUUUUGAUCUCUCAAGUACAGGUUCAAGUCCUGUUUUUCUAA